Molecule: ribosomal RNA, 433 nt
Filed under: uncultured bacterium
Lineage: Bacteria
Description: partial 16S ribosomal RNA
Rfam family: Bacterial small subunit ribosomal RNA
Source: RNAcentral
AACGAACGCUGGCGGCAUGCCUAACACAUGCAAGUCGAACGAGACCUUCGGGUCUAGUGGCGCACGGGUGCGUAACGCGUGGGAACCUGCCCUUAGGUUCGGAAUAACUCCCCGUAAGGGGUGCUAAUACCGGUUAAUGUCUUCGGACCAAAGAUUUAUCGCCUUUGGUUGGGCCCGCGUUGGAUUAGCUUUUUGUUAGGGUAAAAGCAUACCAAGGCGACUAUCCAUAGCUGGUCUGAGAGGAUGAUCAGCCACACUGGGACUGAGACACGGCCCAGACUCCUACGGGAGGGAGCAGUGGGGAAUAUAGGACAAUGGGCGAAAGACUGAUCAAGCAAUGACGCGUGAGUGAUGAAGGCCUUAGGGUUGUAAAGCUCUUUUAAACGGGAUGAUAAUGACAGUACCGGGAGAAUAAGCACCGGCUAACUCCGUG